UACAUAAUUCAUCAAACAACAUAUCUACAUAUUAUAGUGGAACUGUCGUGCACGAUACCAUAACCGUCAUAACGAUACCAUAACCGUCAUAACGAUACAAAGGGAAGUAAUCUGGAUAUACAAACUACUGAAGCUGUUGAACUAUUUAUUUGGACUUUAAUGUUUAGAAUAAUUUGAUGUAUUUUUCUUCUUAAUUGUUUUUUUUUGUUUGUUU
RNAcentral lists this long non-coding RNA (214 nucleotides) under Mytilus galloprovincialis (Mediterranean mussel). The record is from RNAcentral. Lineage: Eukaryota; Metazoa; Mollusca; Bivalvia; Mytilida; Mytilidae.